This is a long non-coding RNA of Artibeus jamaicensis (Jamaican fruit-eating bat), 1159 nucleotides long. RefSeq lists it as uncharacterized. Lineage: Eukaryota; Metazoa; Chordata; Mammalia; Chiroptera; Phyllostomidae. The transcript has 6 exons. The record is from RefSeq and is a predicted model, not a curated record.
CACCGCUUUAGGAAAACAGUCCUCUUCUGCGCCCGGGCGUGAGGUCCUUCAGUGCUGCAGCGAUUUUGCUGGGGUUGUAGGCCCUAAACAGGGGUUUUCUUUUAAAGGAAAUGACCAGAGUGCAAGCAGCAGUGCUCUCUAUUGCUAUGUUCUGAGCACAGGAGGACAUGAGGACCUGAUGGGGCAGGAAGGACCAUGGGAAUGAAAGAUGAUCAACCACACCAAUGCAGUGACUCAGUUCUCAACUCAUGCUUUGGUGAUCUUUUUGGAGCCAGAAAAUAAAAACAAAAAUCCUCAGAUAAUGUUAAGGAGAGGCCCCUGGACCAAGACGGCAGGCUAAGAGAAGAGCAAACUUUCCACAAUGUCAACUGUCACGGAUUUUUCCUCUGUUGUACAACUGAGCAGAGGCAAAGUGGUUUAUAAAGUUUCAGAUUCUAGAAGGUAUGGAUUCUGCUGGGAAGAAGAUCCGAGUGGCUCUCCACUUUAAACACAGCCCUGUUCCAUCGUUUCUGAGCCGAUGCUGACCUGACGGUAUUUGAAAGCAGCUUCUGCAGUGGCUGUCCCUGAGUCCUCACCUGCACUUUCCUCUGAGGCUUCCUUCCCUUUGCGUUUGCCUUGUUCUCAGGCGGGGAUGCAUGCAGGCCUGGAAGAGACUGCAGGGGACCCAUAGAGGAUGGCGAAGGUCUUCAGGGUCACUCAUGGUAUUCUGAGUGCAGUAAACAUCCUCGGUAUGGUGCACCUGGAGACAGUGACCGUGUGCACUUCCGAGUGUCUAGGCAUUGGAGUCUGACAGGCUUGGGUUCGAAUUCACCUCUUCUGCCUAGAUGAAUUGGCCUAAGCAAAUCUCUCUCUGAGACCCAGUUUCUUUGUCAGCAGAAAUGAAUACCAAUUGUAUAGGCCAUGUAUGAAGACUAGGAGAGACUGUGUACACAGCACAGUGCCUCUCACGGAGUAGACACUCCAUGCUAAGGAUGUUUAUUAACAGGAAGUGAAGCUUGCAUUGGAGAAAAAGGGAAAAAGGGUGCUGCUCGUUGGUUUUAAAUGUGUACAUUUGAUGUUGUAUUUCUUUUCCUCUCCCUCUGAAUAAAAUUGUCUUUUAAUUAGAUAAAUUAAUCUUCUUUUUUCUAAUUGACAGACUCACCAGAAAAAUCUUCUUAGU